CAGCCGCCGCGGGAAAACGAAGGGGGCUAGCGUUGUUCGGAAUCACUGGGCGUAAAGCGCACGUAGGCGGACUUUUAAGUCAGGGGUGAAAUCCCAAGGCUCAACCUUGGAACUGCCUUUGAUACUGGAAGUCUUGAGUUCGGGAGAGGUGAGUGGAACUGCGAGUGUAGAGGUGAAAUUCGUAGAUAUUCGCAAGAACACCAGUGGCGAAGGCGGCUCACUGGCCCGAUACUGACGCUGAGGUGCGAAAGCGUGGGGAGCAAACAGGAUUAGAUACCCCCGUAGUCCCUGUCUCUUAUAC
RNAcentral lists this ribosomal RNA (301 nucleotides) under uncultured bacterium. RNAcentral's name for it is "partial 16S ribosomal RNA". It matches the Rfam family "Bacterial small subunit ribosomal RNA", at positions 509 to 807 of the family's 1533-position model. The record is from RNAcentral.